CAUGUUUUUGCUUUCUUUUCUUUCUUUUUUCUUUCUGCAUCUUUCACGCCUCUUUCACUCUGCCUCACAUCCUUCUUCAACGCCAUAAUCAGCCCCCCUCUCUUUGCCAUCUCGUUGUAUGAUCAGCACCAGCUUUUCUUCGAAGCAAGUCAUUAGAGCAGAACCGAGCUUAUUGGAGAUUCUCAGUUUCACUCCUCAAUUUGGUUUGUCGAAGAUUCCACGAAACAAAAGCAGGGCUUCAGUAUAUCAAAUUGCCUGAUGCCAAUAAGUUGUUGAGCAAAAUAGGGAUUGCAGUUGCUGGGUUUGCGGAAGACUUAGGAUACAUCGAGUUUGAUGCACAUUGAAGGUGAGAGAAGAGAUGUCGCUGAAGGGAGAAGUUGCGUUGCCAGAGAGUUGGACAAAGAGGUGGUUGCGGAGUCUUGGCAGGGAAGAUGUUGCAAGGAAGAUGAAUCAGUUGGUAAUGAUAUUAGCUAUAGGCUUAAAAGGAGUUGUAGUGUUAUUGCUAGGAACAAGAGUGCACGAUAAUCAUAUAGGCAUAACAUUCACAACAGCUUGCGACCAACUUCUAGAAGCAAAUCAGAAAGGAUGUAGGCUGUCCGCUGAAAAGCGUUCUGUGAAACUGUCUCGCCAACUCUUUACUUGUUGAAGUUAAUUUAAAGCUUGAGUCUGUUAUAUUCA
This is a long non-coding RNA of Eucalyptus grandis, 678 nucleotides long. RefSeq lists it as uncharacterized. The record is from RefSeq and is a predicted model, not a curated record. NCBI's taxonomy places the organism in Eukaryota, Viridiplantae, Streptophyta, Magnoliopsida, Myrtales, Myrtaceae. The transcript has 2 exons.